This 757-nucleotide ribosomal RNA is filed under the name Glutamicibacter nicotianae. Its description in RNAcentral is "bacterial SSU rRNA". It matches the Rfam family "Bacterial small subunit ribosomal RNA", at positions 96 to 865 of the family's 1533-position model. Lineage: Bacteria; Bacillati; Actinomycetota; Actinomycetes; Micrococcales; Micrococcaceae. The record is from RNAcentral.
UGGCGAACGGGUGAGUAACACGUGAGUAACCUGCCCCCGACUCUGGGAUAAGCCCGGGAAACUGGGUCUAAUACCGGAUAUGACCUCGCACCGCAUGGUGCGGGGUGGAAAGAUUUAUCGGUGGGGGAUGGACUCGCGGCCUAUCAGCUUGUUGGUGAGGUAAUGGCUCACCAAGGCGACGACGGGUAGCCGGCCUGAGAGGGUGACCGGCCACACUGGGACUGAGACACGGCCCAGACUCCUACGGGAGGCAGCAGUGGGGAAUAUUGCACAAUGGGCGAAAGCCUGAUGCAGCGACGCCGCGUGAGGGAUGACGGCCUUCGGGUUGUAAACCUCUUUCAGUAGGGAAGAAGCGAAAGUGACGGUACCUGCAGAAGAAGCGCCGGCUAACUACGUGCCAGCAGCCGCGGUAAUACGUAGGGCGCAAGCGUUAUCCGGAUUUAUUGGGCGUAAAGAGCUCGUAGGCGGUUUGUCGCGUCUGCCGUGAAAGUCCGAGGCUCAACCUCGGAUCUGCGGUGGGUACGGGCAGACUAGAGUGAUGUAGGGGAGACUGGAAUUCCUGGUGUAGCGGUGAAAUGCGCAGAUAUCAGGAGGAACACCGAUGGCGAAGGCAGGUCUCUGGGCAUUUACUGACGCUGAGGAGCGAAAGCAUGGGGAGCGAACAGGAUUAGAUACCCUGGUAGUCCAUGCCGUAAACGUUGGGCACUAGGUGUGGGGGACAUUCCACGUUUUCCGCGCCGUAGCUAACGCAUUAAGU